RNAcentral lists this ribosomal RNA (498 nucleotides) under uncultured bacterium. RNAcentral describes it as "partial 16S ribosomal RNA". It matches the Rfam family "Bacterial small subunit ribosomal RNA", at positions 28 to 523 of the family's 1533-position model. The record is from RNAcentral.
GAUGAACGCUAGCGGCAGGCCUAAUACAUGCAAGUCGGACGGGAUUGAGAAGCUUGCUUUUCAUGAGAGUGGCGCACGGGUGCGUAACACGUAUGUAACCUACCUUAAUCAGGGGGAUAGCCUCUCGAAAGAGAGAUUAACACCGCAUAAAAUCAAUUUAUGGCAUCAUAGAAUGAUCAAAUAUUUAUAGGAUUAAGAUGGGCAUGCGGAACAUUAGCUAGUUGGUAAGGUAACGGCUUACCAAGGCUACGAUGUUUAGGGGAUCUGAGAGGAUGACCCCCCACACUGGUACUGAGACGCGGACCAGACUCCUACGGGAGGCAGCAGUAAGGAAUAUUGGUCAAUGGGCGCAAGCCUGAACCAGCCAUGCCGCGUGCAGGAAGACGGCCCUACGGGUUGUAAACUGCUUUUGUACCGGAAUAAACCUUUGUAUGUAUACGAAGCUGAAUGUACGGUAAGAGUAAGGAUCGGCUAACUCCGUGCCAGCCGCCGCCGUAA